GACGAACGCUGGCGGCGUGCUUAACACAUGCAAGUCGAACGGAAAGGCCUCUUUCGGGGGGUACUCGAGUGGCGAACGGGUGAGUAACACGUGAGUAACCUGCCCUUGACUUUGGGAUAACUUCAGGAAACUGGGGCUAAUACCGGAUAGGAGCUCCUGCUGCAUGGUGGGGGUUGGAAAGUUUCCGCGGUUGGGGAUGGACUCGCGGCUUAUCUGCUUGUUGGUGGGGUAGUGGCUUACCAAGGCUUUGACGGGUAGCCGGCCUGAGAGGGUUACCGGCCACAUUGGGACUGAGGUACGGCCCAGACUCCUACGGGAGGCAGCAGGGGGGGAUAUUGCACAAAUGGUGGAAGCCUGAUGCAGCAACGCCGUGUUCGGGAGGACGGGCUUCGGGUUUGAAACCGCUUUCGCUCAUGGCGAAGCUUUGUGUGACGGUAGUGGGUAAAGAAGCACCGGCUAACUACGUG
RNAcentral lists this ribosomal RNA (467 nucleotides) under uncultured bacterium. RNAcentral describes it as "partial 16S ribosomal RNA". It matches the Rfam family "Bacterial small subunit ribosomal RNA", at positions 28 to 507 of the family's 1533-position model. The record is from RNAcentral.